UACGUAGGGGGCAAGCGUUGUCCGGAAUCAUUGGGCGUAAAGAGCGUGUAGGCGGCUUGGUAAGUCCGCUGUGAAAGUCCAGGGCUCAACCCUGGAAUGCCGGUGGAAACUGUCAAGCUUGAGUCCGGAAGAGGUGAGUGGAAUUCCUGGUGUAGCGGUGAAAUGCGCAGAUAUCAGGAGGAACACCAAUGGCGAAGGCAGCUCGCUGGGACGGUACUGACGCUGAGGCGCGAAAGCGUGGGGAGCAAACGGG
This 253-nucleotide ribosomal RNA is filed under the name uncultured bacterium. RNAcentral's name for it is "partial 16S ribosomal RNA". It matches the Rfam family "Bacterial small subunit ribosomal RNA", at positions 524 to 776 of the family's 1533-position model. The record is from RNAcentral.